UAGGUUAACGAGGCGAACCGGGGGAACUGAAACAUCUAAGUACCCCGAGGAAAAGAAAUCAACCGAGAUUCCCCCAGUAGCGGCGAGCGAACGGGGAGCAGCCCAGAGUCUGAAUCAGCUUGUGUGUUAGUGGAACGGUCUGGAAAGUCCGACGGUACAGGGUGAUAGUCCCGUACACCAAAAUGCACAGGCUGUGAACUCGAAGAGUAGGGCGGGACACGUGGUAUCCUGUCUGAAUAUGGGGGGACCAUCCUCCAAGGCUAAAUACUCCUGACUGACCGAUAGUGAACCAGUACCGUGAGGGAAAGGCGAAAAGAACCCCGGCGAGGGGAGUGAAAAAGAACCUGAAACCGUGUACGUACAAGCAGUGGGAGCACCUUCGGGUGUGACUGCGUACCUUUUGUAUAAUGGGUCAGCGACUUAUAUUCUGUAGCAAGGUUAACCGUAUAGGGGAGCCGCAGGGAAACCGAGUCUUAACUGGGCGUUAAGUUGCAGGGUAUAGACCCGAAACCCGGUGAUCUAGCCAUGGGCAGGUUGAAGGUUGGGUAACACUAACUGGAGGACCGAACCGACUAAUGUUGAAAAAUUAGCGGAUGACUUGUGGCUGGGGGUGAAAGGCCAAUCAAACCGGGAGAUAGCUGGUUCUCCCCGAAAGCUAUUUAGGUAGCGCCUCGUGAAUUCAUCUUCGGGGGUAGAGCACUGUUUCGGCUAGGGGGUCAUCCCGACUUACCAACCCGAUGCAAACUACGAAUACCGAAGAAUGUUAUCACGGGAGACACACGGCGGGUGCUAACGUCCGUCGUGAAGAGGGAAACAACCCAGACCGCCAGCUAAGGUCCCAAAGUCAUGGUUAAGUGGGAAACGAUGUGGGAAGGCACAGACAGCCAGGAUGUUGGCUUAGAAGCAGCCAUCAUUUAAAGAAAGCGUAAUAGCUCACUGGUCGAGUCGGCCUGCGCGGAAGAUGUAACGGGGCUAAACCAUGCACCGAAGCUGCGGCAGCGACACUAUGUGUUGUUGGGUAGGGGAGCGUUCUGUAAGCCUGCGAAGGUGACCUGUGAGGGUUGCUGGAGGUAUCAGAAGUGCGAAUGCUGACAUAAGUAACGAUAAAGCGGGUGAAAAGCCCGCUCGCCGGAAGACCAAGGGUUCCUGUCCAACGUUAAUCGGGGCAGGGUGAGUCGACCCCUAAGGCGAGGCCGAAAGGCGUAGUCGAUGGGAAACAGGUUAAUAUUCCUGUACUUGGUGUUACUGCGAAGGGGGGACGGAGAAGGCUAUGUUAGCCGGGCGACGGUUGUCCCGGUUUA
Molecule: ribosomal RNA, 1301 nt
Filed under: Klebsiella pneumoniae
Lineage: Bacteria; Pseudomonadati; Pseudomonadota; Gammaproteobacteria; Enterobacterales; Enterobacteriaceae
Description: partial 23S ribosomal RNA
Rfam family: Bacterial large subunit ribosomal RNA
Source: RNAcentral